AGACCAUUUUCACACCUUGAUUUGUCAAAGGCUGUGUGAGAUAUGAUCACAAUGGUACACAGAUUUCUUAUCAAAAAUGUAGUCUCCCUCAAUUCACAGUGCCUCUGAUACUUACGAAGAAAUUGGACUUAUUUAGUGUGGGGGUAUAGGGGUGGAGGGAUGCCUAGGUAUAUAGAGAUCAGAGGAUAAUGUGCCAGUUUUUCCUUCCAGUAUGUAAGUCCUGGAGAUUAAACUCAGUUUACCAGAUGUGGCUGCAAAUGUUUUACCCAGUGAGGCAUCUGUACACACCAUACUUAAUGUUUAAAUUUGCCAGUGAUUUAUUGAGACAAGGGUCUUGUUCUGAAGCCCAGACUAGCCUGGAGCUCAUCAUGUACCUCAGGCUAGCCUUGCUCCUUUCACUGUUUUUGCUUCUUAAAUGUUAGGAUUGUACAUGUGUGCCAGCAGUUCCAACACAACUUAAAGGGUCAGGAGGGCGGGAUACACUCACAUAAUCCUGGGCAAUCAAUUCCUCUAGCCGAGAUCUUUACAUAGGAAAAAUCGUUAAAUUAAUGAAACACUUUUGGACAAAGGAGACCAUGAUUCUCAUUGCUGUGAACCCGUGAGUACACACAUUCCUGCAUUUAGACAUUUUGGAAUAUUGUCGACAAAGGACAGCACGGCAGCUGUGCUUCUCGACUUUAAGGAGUUUGCAGCCUGGUUGAGAUAAGAGGCUGUGUAUAAGAUAAGCCAUGGUACAAAGCAAUAUGGGAUCAGUGUGGAAAACUGAAGGACUUGAAAAGAUAGAGAGAGGGUUCUUUAAGUUAGGGUACAGUGAGGAGGGUAGGAAGAAUGACUUAAACUUAUGAAGAGAGUUCUGUGUGAUAACUGCUGAUCACACGUUCUGUAGGUGUUCACUCAUUUGAUCUUUGUGUGAUAAUGUGUCAGCCAGGCAAAACAGAGCUCUGAAACUAAGCAAGGAUAUAGUCAGCACAUCCAGGGGAUGCUGGGGCCUCUGUCAGGUUCUGGGUGCCCGACUCUAGAACCACAGUCAUUUUAAUGCCUAAGAAGCCUGGGAAGACUUGAGCAAAGGGAAGCUUUAACCAAAGAAAGCAAACCAUGCCCUGAAGCAAAGGCUACAGGGAAAUAUUAAAGGGUGUGGCUUGGACUUGAUCCCAAUAAGUAGUUGGAGAACCAGUGAAUGAACUUGGAAAGAAAAUGUCAUGAUUACCUUGAGGGGACAGAAGUCACCAUGUGUUGUGUGGCAGCCACUGGGAUUAGACCUUGGGCUUUCUGAUCAUUUCUGCUCACUCUGUCCUGUGUGCUGUCCCUUUGACUUUCAGUUAGCUCCUUCCCCCUUGGUCUUGUGGGAUCAGUAACUCCCAGUGCUCAGUGACCAAGGAAAUAGGUGCACACUGUCUCUUUGGUUAUUGGGGCUUUCUGAAUAACUCUCAGGACCCCAAGACCCUAUUGCAGAAGCUUCCAUGAAAAGUAGAAGGUAAAACAGCAUAGUCUCCCUUUCAGGAUCUCUGGAUUUGAUGUAGAACAAACAAAUAACUCAGAUUUCAGGGCAUCCUUAGGAAUCCAGAAGGAUGGUAACACAUGGAGACACUACUAGGAUAGUGAUGGCCUGUUGUCCUAACAGGUUCUCAUUUAGUCCCUAGGGGCUGACUAGAAGGAUCUCUGUCAACUAAUGAAGACUGUGCUUAGGGGCAGGCUAGGUCUGUAGCCAUUAUUUUCCACUUCAGAGUGAUUAAUUCGUGAUUUCAGUGCAAGCCCCAAAUCAAUGUGUAACACUGGAGGUGGCACAAAGAAGCCAAUGUUCAAUAUUAAGGUACACAGGGCGCCUG
This 1826-nucleotide long non-coding RNA is filed under the name Mus musculus (house mouse). RNAcentral's name for it is "long non-coding RNA chr6:134073356-134075182". Lineage: Eukaryota; Metazoa; Chordata; Mammalia; Rodentia; Muridae. The record is from RNAcentral.